GUACGCUGGCGGCACGCCUAACACAUGCAAGUCGAACGAAGUAGCAAUACUUAGUGGCAGACGGGUGAGUAACAUGUAGGUAUCUGCCCUUUGGCCUGGAAUAACACGAGGAAACUUGUGCUAAUACCGGAUAAGUCUUUACGGAGAAAGCUUUAUGCACCAUUGGAUGAGCCUGCACUUGAUUAGUUUGUUGGUGGGGUAAUGGCCUACCAAGACUGUGAUCAAUAGCUGAUUUGAGAGGAUGAUCAGCCACAUUGGGACUGAGACACGGCCCAAACUCCUACGGGAGGCAGCAGUGGGGAAUCUUGCACAAUGGAGGAAACUCUGAUGCAGCGAUGCCGCGUGAGUGAAGAAGGCCUUUGGGUUGUAAAGCUCUUUCGUCGGGGAAGAAAAUGACUGUACCCGAAUAAGAAGGUCCGGCUAA
This 424-nucleotide ribosomal RNA is filed under the name uncultured bacterium. RNAcentral describes it as "bacterial SSU rRNA". It matches the Rfam family "Bacterial small subunit ribosomal RNA", at positions 31 to 500 of the family's 1533-position model. The record is from RNAcentral.